Long non-coding RNA from Homo sapiens (human), 924 nucleotides. Ensembl annotates it as growth arrest specific 5. Its record names the gene GAS5. The record is from Ensembl. NCBI's taxonomy places the organism in Eukaryota, Metazoa, Chordata, Mammalia, Primates, Hominidae.
GUCUUUUCGAGGUAGGAGUCGACUCCUGUGAGGUAUGGUGCUGGGUGCAGAUGCAGUGUGGCUCUGGAUAGCACCUUAUGGACAGUUGUGUCCCCAAGGAAGGAUGAGAAUAGCUACUGAAGUCCUAAAGAGCAAGCCUAACUCAAGCCAUUGGCACACAGGCAUUAGACAGAAAGCUGGAAGUUGAAAUGGUAAGUGAAACUGUAUCCAAGUAAGCAGGUAACUGGGCAAACUUCCUACGGCACAAAUGGCUUUUUAGUUACCUCCUAGUGCUGAAUGCAUUAAAUAAAUGGCGGAUUCUUGUCUUGUUAUGAUUAAUAAGAAAGUUUGUAAAUGCAGCCUGGAUGAUGAUAAGCAAAUGCUGACUGAACAUGAAGGUCUUAAUUAGCUCUAACUGACUAAAGGCAUUUGUUAGUUUUGGCAGGGGGUGAACACUCAUCUGUGGCUAUUCUAAGACCACUCUUAUUUCUUAGGUGGAGUCCAACUUGCCUGGACCAGCUUAAUGGUUCUGCUCCUGGUAACGUUUUUAUCCAUGGAUGACUUGCUUGGGUAAGGACAUGAAGACAGUUCCUGUCAUACCUUUUAAAGGUAUGGAGAGUCGGCUUGACUACACUGUGUGGAGCAAGUUUUAAAGAAGCAAAGGACUCAGAAUUCAUGAUUGAAGAAAUGCAGGCAGACCUGUUAUCCUAAACUAGGGUUUUUAAUGACCACAACAAGCAAGCAUGCAGCUUACUGCUUGAAAGGGUCUUGCCUCACCCAAGCUAGAGUGCAGUGGCCUUUGAAGCUUACUACAGCCUCAAACUUCUGGGCUCAAGUGAUCCUCAGCCUCCCAGUGGUCUUUGUAGACUGCCUGAUGGAGUCUCAUGGCACAAGAAGAUUAAAACAGUGUCUCCAAUUUUAAUAAAUUUUUGCAAUCCAUCUGGA